This 255-nucleotide ribosomal RNA is filed under the name uncultured Glomus. RNAcentral describes it as "partial 18S ribosomal RNA". It matches the Rfam family "Eukaryotic small subunit ribosomal RNA", at positions 624 to 885 of the family's 1831-position model. Lineage: Eukaryota; Fungi; Glomeromycota; Glomeromycetes; Glomerales; Glomeraceae. The record is from RNAcentral.
AAGCUCGUAGUUGAAUUUCGGGAUUAGUACGUCGGUCGUGCCUUAGGUACGUACUGGUGUUACUGGUUCCUACCUUCUGACGAACCAUCAUGUCAUUAAUUUGGUGUGGUGGGGAAUCAGGACUGUUACUUUGAAAAAAUUAGAGUGUUUAAAGCAGGCUCGCGCUUGAAUACAUUAGCAUGGAAUAAUGAAAUAGGACGUUGAUCCUAUUUUGUUGGUUUCUAGGAUCGACGUAAUGAUUAUAGGGAUAGUGGG